Molecule: ribosomal RNA, 500 nt
Filed under: uncultured bacterium
Lineage: Bacteria
Description: partial 16S ribosomal RNA
Rfam family: Bacterial small subunit ribosomal RNA
Source: RNAcentral
AUUGAACGCUGGGGGAAUGCUUUACACAUGCAAGUCGAACGGCAGCACGGACUUCGGUCUGGUGGCGAGUGGCGAACGGGUGAGUAAUGUAUCGGAACGUGCCCAGUCGUGGGGGAUAACGUAGAGAAAAUUACGCUAAUACCGCAUACGAUCUAUGGAUGAAAGCGGGGGAUCGCAAGACCUCGCGCGAUUGGAGCGGCCGAUAUCAGAUUAGGUAGUUGGUGGGGUAAAGGCCCACCAAGCCAACGAUCUGUAGCUGGUCUGAGAGGACGACCAGCCACACUGGAACUGAGACACGGUCCAGACUCCUACGGGAGGCAGCAGUGGGGAAUUUUGGACAAUGGGCGAAAGCCUGAUCCAGCCAUUCCGCGUGCAGGAUGAAGGCCCUCGGGUUGUAAACUGCUUUUGUACAGAACGAAAAGGUUUCUACUAAUACUAGGAGCUCAUGACGGUACUGUAAGAAUAAGCACCGGCUAACUACGUGCCAGCCGCCGCAGUAA